Molecule: transfer RNA, 365 nt
Filed under: uncultured Microcystis sp.
Lineage: Bacteria; Bacillati; Cyanobacteriota; Cyanophyceae; Chroococcales; Microcystaceae
Description: partial 16S-23S ribosomal RNA intergenic spacer
Rfam family: tRNA (bases 136-209)
Source: RNAcentral
AAAGGGAGACCUAAUUCCGGUAGGAGACGAAAAAAAAGUAGUCCCAACCAAGAAUCAAUCCCAAAAGGUCGGAGCGAGGCGAAAUUGGCUUUCAAACUAGGUUCUGGGUUCACACAAGACCUGAAUCAGGAACAAGGGCUAUUAGCUCAGGUGGUUAGAGCGCACCCCUGAUAAGGGUGAGGUCCCUGGUUCGAGUCCAGGAUGGCCCACCUGCACAGGUGGCAAAAACGAAGAAAAAAAGCUCCGAAUCAGCACCUUAUCUUACUUAUACAGUAAGAGAGAAUGCUGGCUCUGAGUUCAGAGUCCAGAGGAACCUUGAAAACUGCAUAGAGCUAGGUGAAAAAGCCAAAAAAGAAGACCGCAAG